This 247-nucleotide ribosomal RNA is filed under the name uncultured bacterium. RNAcentral describes it as "partial 16S ribosomal RNA". It matches the Rfam family "Bacterial small subunit ribosomal RNA", at positions 86 to 334 of the family's 1533-position model. The record is from RNAcentral.
AGAUGGCGACCGGCGCACGGGUGAGUAACACGUAUCCAACCUGCCGAUAACUCGGGGAUAGCCUUUCGAAAGAAAGAUUAAUACCCGAUGGCAUAAUUGGACCGCAUGGUCUUAUUAUUAAAGAAUUUCGGUUAUCGAUGGGGAUGCGUUCCAUUAGGCAGUUGGUGAGGUAACGGCUCACCAAACCUUCGAUGGAUAGGGGUUCUGAGAGGAAGGUCCCCCACAUUGGAACUGAGACACGGUCCAA